GUUUAUUAUUGAAUAAGUAAAAGCCCGAGAAUAUCGAAAGAGUCCGGUAUGCGAGAACAAGUUGAUAUUUGACCAAGUUGUCGGAUAAUUGACAAGUGAUAAUGGUUUGAUUUAUUUAACAAUACACAGGUGAUAGAAUAUAAAAUAAUCGAUAAUUAUAUGGCUUAUGUCUCACGCCAAGAACAUGUAAAUAAGGUAAAUACCGGCUUUAAUAGAAAAGUGCAUUGUUUUUGUCAAAACUGACAUCGAUCUGAAAGUUUUGAUGCCAAACAUCAGGAACAUAUAUAUUAUUAUGUU
RNAcentral lists this long non-coding RNA (297 nucleotides) under Mytilus galloprovincialis (Mediterranean mussel). The record is from RNAcentral. Lineage: Eukaryota; Metazoa; Mollusca; Bivalvia; Mytilida; Mytilidae.